GACGGUUGUGUCCAUAUAAUUGCUAUCGCAAAAUUCGCAAUAAAUAGAAAUUUUCACUAAGGACCAACCACGCUGCUUCUCCAUGUCGUGAGAGAGCGGUGAACGAUAGUUCUAGAAAAUGUGUUGCUAAAUCUCCGCCAAAUGACUACGCUCGCAUUUGGUGACAACGGCACACAGUCGCAAGAACUUGUGGAGGAAAUACCGGAGUUCUGGCAGCUUCAGGUGCACUAGAUCAUUCAGUAACAUGGGCGGCUUUGUAGUUCUACCUCACAUCAGAGCAAACUGCACUCGACAGAAAUAAAGGGCAGCCGCACCGUUAUAGCUAAGCAAAUUAAGGACAAUUACGCCGCGUCUUCACACUUCGAGCAUGCUCCGACAGCCCCCCGAUAGAUAUUUCAAACGUAACCACGCUCGGACGGGCAAAUUUUGCUUCUGCCAAGUGAACGUAGCGGGCAUUUCAACACGCGUGUUAAAUUCAUGGCUGUUUCAUUCGUGAACAUUACUUAAGUGACGUAAAAUUAUCAGUGAGCAAAACAGUUUUUAUUUCAACGCGAGGAAACAAAACCGAAACUAGCGCAACUGUUUUGCUCAGUUGUGCAGAUACAAAAUGAUCCAAAGCCGAAGCCGUCAAUAGCAUGACGCCAUUUUAAAGUUGCGCUGUAUCACGCGCGAGUGCGUUGUCGUUGAGUGGUUCUGAAAUCGCUGCGUUAGGGGCGACUGCAACCAAGCGUUGCGGCAAGUUACGGUGGGAGCUUCUGUCCGUGCUGUGUGAUUGCGACGAGGGGACCGCCGCCAGCAGCAGCGUAUCGCCGAUUUCGUCUUUCGGUUUGCACUGCAUCUUUCAUUGUGAUAUGGGAGAUCGCAACGGACAGAGACGACCAGAUGCAUACGAACCACUACCAGCGGGGACCUGUGACCUGUGCCAUAUUUCUCUUAACGUCUCAGGUAUUCAAGAAAUGCCAACAUCCAGAAGACGCCAUCUUAUCCAGCACGUUAUGGGUACACUCUGGUGGCUCCCGCCCCUGCAUCCUACCACCACUGUGUCCUGACUACGUCCACUAGAGAGUUCGAAGCCUUUGGCGGCUCCUGCCACUGCGUCCUGCCACCACCGUGUCCUGACUACGUCCACUAGGGAGUUGGCAGCCUUCGUGAUGAUGCCAAGCAGGCUGGAAGCCGGCAGAAAGAUUAAGGUUGCCUCGAAAUUUUACCAAAGCCGUACCACACACUCGGGCCAGGCCUUUUUGCAAACGGCGUAUAACCAAGCUCAACGCAUGAGUGUCGAGUGAGUCUGGAGAUCAAGGCAACCUGCUGUGCAACCAGCAUGCAACCUUUGGUGACCCCUCUACAUGUUCCACCUAUUUCACAGCUGCACCUCAGCUGCAACUUAUCCAAACAGCAUCACCAACUGUGGUCACUCAUCGAACCAUGGAUGAAUGUUGGGGUGGAGUGAUUUGAAGAGACAUUCUAUUUGUCUCUUCAAAUUCUUAGCAAAUACUUGUGUUAUUAUAAUUAAUAUGUGUCUUUAGUGCCUAGUUUUUAAUGGUUCCUUUCUAUUAGAAUUCUCACCAUCGAUUCCUGGUAUUAUAAUGUAUGUCUUUAUGCCCAGUUUUUCGUAGUUGUUUCGUACUUGUGUAUGUAAUUGAUAGGUUCAUACUUGUUAUACAGAAGGCUAAAAUGCAAACUUACAGCAUUUUUUUUCUUUCUUUUGAUAAUCUACAGCACUGCAAAGUGUUCAAGAAAUGUAACCUAACAUGGGCUCUUGUGCAGGAAAAAUUUAAGAGCAAUAUAGAGUACUUAUUUCAAACACCCAUUAUUCUUGGAAAAGUCAAGAAUAUAGGAGCACAAAAAAGAAAAUAUUAAACUAGAGAAACAUGAGUUCCCCUCAUAAGUCUGAUAAUAAUGCGACUUCCUUUCACUGCAAAGAUACCAGUAAUGUACUCGCAUACAAGGUUUCAAACAAGAAAGCUAUGAUGCCCUUGGCAUUUCUCAGUGCCUAUUUGCCACACUGACGAAUGUCAAAGGCAUCGUAGGUUUCAUGCACACAUUGGUUGUGUUACACUUUUGAGUAUUGCAUUUCUCAAACACAAAGGUUUACAGCAGUGCUUUAAAUAGCAAGUGCAUUUCCUAAUUUAUUAGUGCAAGAGUAACAGUACAGAUCAUGUAAAAAUUAUUUUACAGACUAUAUGUCCAUGGAUGCACGCUUCUGAUGACAUAGCAGUGACGUGUUCGUGGGAUGAAUGUCUUUAUUUCAGAUUUAAAUAUUGGCUUCCAGGUCUGGGUUAGUCUCCUACACUGAGUAGUCUAGGUCAGAGCCCAUUUACUAGAGAAAGUGAAUUAAACUAGGAAUUAUAAACAUCAAAAGAUCUUGUUUAGGACACCAAUAAGACAAUCAGCAAGGUUCUUUGGUUAUUCAUUUCCAAAUUUGUGAGGAUAUAUUUUAUGACUGGUUUCAAUAUUGUGAGAACAAAUAUUUGUUUAUUGUCACACUAGAGUUGGCUGCCCCCAUUUGUAUACAACCCCUUUACAGGCUAAAAAUUCAGUGUGUUACCCUAUUUACUCGCAUAAUGAUCGCACUUUUUUGUAAAAAAAUUGACUCAAAUUCAGGGGUGCGAUCAUUACGCUGGUUAAAUUUCCCGCAAAAAGAAAAAAAUAUAUUAUCUGGCAUUUACUACGGGAUGACAACAGGUCAACAAAUAGGCGGCUGCUGCUGUAUGUAGUGCAGGACACGAAAAAAAAUGGUGGCCGGCAGAGCAAGCCGAACGCGCUGAAUGCGUUUUUCUUCUCGUGAGUACAUUACAGUGCAUUCAAACAGUUUCUUCCAUAUUAGUAAUGAAUAACAUCGGCAAGUUUGCGGCAAUAACAUAGCCAUGCCCACUUUGAGGGGACAGAGAUGGGCACGCUUAGCUCUGCCAGUGACAUAGGAACACAUGGUGGGCAUGCUGCGGAAACUGCGGCAUUUGUCUUCACCACUAUCCUAAUGUGGCACGUUUCCGCUAAGGGUGGGCGAAUAUCUUAGCUGCGUUACAAACGUCGGCGAAUGAAUAGGGUACACUUCUAACGUAUCAGUGUAAACGUGGCUGCUAUCAUUGCCGCUCGCGAUUUGUUGCGUGCCCACAAGUGCAGAUGAGAAGAAUCGAAAGACGCCUUUUUUUGUUGUUUUUGUUGACCACAACCAUUAUAAAGCCUACACAUAAUAAAGGAAAGUUUGGUUGUAGCUUUUUUUUGUCGUAGAAGUGCAGAAAGUGAUGAAAGGAAUGAAAUGGGGCAUCUGCUUAAGAAAGUUUUUUGCAUGCAGUCUGCUUGGUUUGUCUUGAAGAGUCGUUCGCAUAGCAGUCGACAGAUGGUAAGCGCGAUCAUUAUUAGCUAGAUUUGGCACAUGACACAUCGCUGCGGCAAGUUCGGGGUGAAAUCGUUACAUGGGAAAUAAAAAAAAUCGAAUUUUGACGACAAAAUUUAGGAGUGCGAUCAUUACGCGAGCGCAGUCAUUAUGCGAGUAAAUACGGUAAUAGGCUGUUUUUGGUUUCGUGCACUCUAUGUUAAGGGAUGCAAAUGGUGACAUACAACAGAAUGCAAAAAUGACUAAUGAAUUCAAGCAGGGCAUGGGGCUUUUUAGGCAGAUGCGUGCGUGUGCUAUUUAUAAAGCUCCCCAUGGUAUGCCUGAAGGCAUUUUCUAACACUUUGGUAGAAUACACUGACACCCCCUUAUUAACUCUUCGAAACAACUCUUUUAUAUAUUUGUACUAGAGAUUUGAAUAUACUGUCAUUCAUAAAGUGUUUUAUUAGAUUUGAAUUGUCAUUUAUUUUUGUGUAGCUGCUGUUUUUCAGUUAUGUCCUACACAGUGGCAAAAUAUUUUUGUGGGCACUUUCCUGUGUAUAAAAUUUUCAGAAAUAGCUUCAUGCUGUAUCUUAUUUAGCUACUCGUAUACUGCAAAGUGGUGAUACCUAUCCAAACGGCUUGUACAAUUACUGGAACUAUGCAAAAAUAUAUUAGGCCACAUUAAAUAAUUUUACAGAUUGCAAUUUCAAUUAGAUAUCAGCAUUCUGCAUAUCUUGAAGAGUACGUAUGCCAAAUUUCGAAGUAUAGGACAACUAUAAGUGCAUAAGAAGUAUGCAAGAUUAGUAGGCAGGCCUCUCUGCCUGCCUACUAAUUUUGCAUACUUCUAGUAACUUUACAUGCUCUUUGAAUAGAUAUCGGCACUUUGCAGUCUACAAAGAGCUGAGGUAGCUACAGCACACUGCUUUUUGUGAAAAUUUACACAAGAAAGUGCCCGCAAAGAUCAGUGUAUUUUCCCAUUGUGUAGGACAUAACUCAAGAAGCAGCUAAAGAAAUACUAAUGACAUAUAUGACAUCUGCAUGAAGAACUCUACAAUUUGCUCUCUUUUCAAGCCUCUAGCACGAAUAAUAAGACUGUUUCGAGUAAUAUUCAAUCAGCAAAACAUGCCCCUUGCUAUAGUGACCUACAACAUAGAAACGCAAAUUGAACGCAAGUCUUUUUGUUGAAGCGACUCUGGGCUGUCUUCCCAAGGGCUUCUGUUAAACACUGAAAUUUCCUGCAUUUACCAGAAGUGCAAUACUCAAAUGUUUGUGUAUGUGCAAUUGGUAUUGGCAAACUAACAGAAAAAAAGACAGUUCUGUGAAAUGAAGAAUUGACUAUAACUUUGUUCGACAUUUACAUUUUGACUCCAUAUCUUUGUUUUGUGCUUUGUACUGAGUGUUUCAGCAGUGACUGCCGCUAAAAAUUGAACAUAACUGCUUCAUGACAAUGCGACAAUUUUCGCUAACAGAAAUUUAUAGCAGUGGCAGGCAUUAUAAUUACCGUACUCAAUAACGUCUAGUUUGUAAGAACUCAGACUAGCACCAGUUCCGAGAUACACAACCCAAAAAGACAUGAUCAGAUAGGUUUAUCUUCCACACAGAAUUGUCCCAUAAAGCUUACAAAAUGUUUUGUGGCUAAGUAAUAUCUGCAACAGCAAAGCAUGUUCCACCAAGUAUGGCGAUAAAUAUUUCAGAGCUGUCAGUCUGAGGACUCCUACAAACUAACAAUACCUUCAGCACUGACUAGCCUCAAUAAUAGGAUGUCAGCCAUUUUGCUGAAAUUAAUAAAACUUCAAUUAUUGUGAUCUUGUUUACGAAAACAUUUGCAAUUGUAAUUCAGUUCUAGUAUCUGUCACUUUUGUAAAUAUUUUCCAAUUAGUUUUUCAGACUACAAUUUUUGGUAAUAGAGGUAUUCAUUGCAGAAAGAUCUAGUACAUGGCACUUAAUAAUAAAGGUACUGGUCAUCGUAGACUUUCUGUUGCACAGCUGUUUCUCGAAAUCUGAAAGGAUGUACCCGCCUCCUUAUGUUAGCUAGAAACGGAAAUCUGUCAGUAUGUUUUGUUUAAAAUACAGCUGAUCAACCCGAUAGUUAGGCUGCUUGCCAAAUAUAAAUUAUAACGAUAAUAGUGAAGGACCAUAAUAACAGAGUGAUGCUGACUCAUAACUAUGCCCAGCUACAUCCACGCAGCUGUGCCAUACAAUGUGCAUGUGUUCAGAAGAGCCAAAUGCCCCAGAGAGAAAGCAACAGUAACUCAUUGUUUGUCAUCUUGUUCAAGCAGAUUAUGCGCUAGCUGUAAUUUAUGCUCAGUAAAUACAUAAAUCAGUCAUGUCAGGUGUCUUACUUUAGGUUGCAAGUUCGAAGUUCUUGUAAUCUUGCUUGUUUUUAUUUUGUUUUCUUUGUGAGAAUGAGUCACUUGGUUGCCUUCGCACAUAUUCUCAAAACUGUUUCAUCACUGGGAAUCAGGAAAUUUAAUUUGCAUAUGAAAUUCCCAGUUACUAAUUUGGUAGGCUUUGAGCUUAAUUCUCUUAUCUUUUAUAUGUUUAUCUACCAAGUAGUCUUAUCGUUCAUUGAAACAUAUCCAUGUAAUGCAGAGAGGGCACCCAAAUUAUAAAUAUCUCUUCUUGCUUUCUACCCUGCUCUGGUGUUUUCAAAACCUAGCAUUGGUGCAAUGGCCUGUCUGCAGAAAAGUAGUAAAGUGGCUAAAUUUAAAGGUCAACAACAUAAUUAAGAUACAAAGCAAAAAUAUAAGUUCGCAAUUGUCCCCCAUAACGAGAGUUCUGCUUAGAAUUAAAAAAAAAAUUGACAUCCUGCUGUGGUGUGAGAAUUGCUUUGGGUUCCAAGGGGACUACGUAGCACCUGUACUAGUGUAUACAAAGCAAAAAAAAAAGAUCACUCCAGAUUGGAGCGGCAGUGGGAAGUCAAGCACAGAUGCUUUAUUUCACGCACCAUUAAUGUGGUUUAUCAUCUGCUCCUGUUGUAUGGGAAUGCAUACAUUGGGAAGACAAUCCUUUGCGCCAUUGUUACCUUAGCGGGACACCAGAGAAAGGUAGAAAUCGAGAACAGGUAUUCACACUUGGUUGCCCACAGUGUGUUAUUUGGAUGUGUUUCACUCUACAAAAGACUACUGUGGUAGGUAAUCAUAAUGACAAAGACAAAAGAAUUAAAAGAGGCAUGUGUCCGUCAUCCGUCCGUGACCUCCAGUGUUUAUAGAAACACUUCUUUGUGUAUAUGUGCCAAGCCGUAGGGAGGCUUUACGUAACUCAGUCAUGCUUGCUAAGCUAAAGAUUGGAAUAAGGAAAAUCACAAGAACAUUGUAUGAGUGAUUUAUAAAUGUGCACCUAAAGUAACUUAUUCAUGUAUGUCCUGAGGAUAGAUUACAGCCAGUGCAUAAUGUGCUCUUACAGGAUGACUUGUGAUGAGUAAAAGAAGCCUUCCUCACAUCUUCCUCUUUGUUUCUUUUGGAUCUUUGUGCACUAUGUGUAUUGUUACAGCUGCGUGCAUGCAGCUGGGUAUAGUUUGUUUAUGUGUUCUGCUUCCUCUCUUGUACUCAUCAUUCAUGCGCUAUCUUUGCCGUAACAAAAUACAGCUGCCUGUGCUACUUAUUUUGUCAACAUGUUUGCAUUAUGGAAAGUUUUGUAUUAGCGGUUGUUUCUACCUGUGAAAUUGUCUGUGUCAGCUAUUUUACUUAGUCUUGCAAAAGUAUGCUUCUCAACAUAAAUAAAUGAUCAGUGUAAGUGUUGCUGUAUUUAUUUUUGUAAUUUUGUCAGUUAUGAGGUUUUUAUACACUGUUGCAUGUUGUAUGACAGAAUAAAAUUGAUGCACAACUUUUUAA
Dermacentor albipictus is the source of this 7149-nucleotide non-coding RNA. The record is from RefSeq and is a predicted model, not a curated record. NCBI's taxonomy places the organism in Eukaryota, Metazoa, Arthropoda, Arachnida, Ixodida, Ixodidae.